Molecule: ribosomal RNA, 346 nt
Filed under: uncultured Phoma
Lineage: Eukaryota; Fungi; Ascomycota
Description: SSU rRNA
Rfam family: Eukaryotic small subunit ribosomal RNA
Source: RNAcentral
GUAGUCAUAUGCUUGUCUCAAAGAUUAAGCCAUGCAUGUCUAAGUAUAAGCAAUUAUACCGUGAAACUGCGAAUGGCUCAUUAAAUCAGUUAUCGUUUAUUUGAUAGUACCUUACUACUUGGAUAACCGUGGUAAUUCUAGAGCUAAUACAUGCUGAAAACCCCGACUUACGAAGGGGUGUAUUUAUUAGAUAAAAAACCAACGCCCUGCGGGGCUUCUUGGUGAUUCAUGAUAACUUUACGGAUCGCAUGGCCUUGCGCCGGCGACGGUUCAUUCAAAUUUCUGCCCUAUCAACUUUCGAUGGUAAGGUAUUGGCUUACCAUGGUUUCAACGGGUAACGGGGAAU